AUAUAUACCUGGCAGGGGAGAGGCUCACCUAGGGAUGAAGCCCGGCCGUGCUGACCCCAUGCGAAUUCCCCAAACGUGGGAAUCUUGACUCCAUAAGUUAUGGUAGUGGGGAAUUGCGUCACGGUCUCCAC
RNAcentral lists this small nuclear RNA (131 nucleotides) under Oncorhynchus kisutch (coho salmon). RNAcentral describes it as "U1 spliceosomal RNA (ENSOKIG00005037938.1)". It matches the Rfam family "U1 spliceosomal RNA". Rfam says of the family: U1 is a small nuclear RNA (snRNA) component of the spliceosome (involved in pre-mRNA splicing). Its 5' end forms complementary base pairs with the 5' splice junction, thus defining the 5' donor site of an intron. The record is from RNAcentral. Lineage: Eukaryota; Metazoa; Chordata; Actinopteri; Salmoniformes; Salmonidae.